GGGCGCUUAGCUCAGUUGGUAGAGCAGCUGACUCUUAAUCAGCGGGUCGAAGGUUCGAAUCCUUCAGCGCCCACCA
This 76-nucleotide transfer RNA is filed under the name Alphaproteobacteria bacterium. Its description in RNAcentral is "tRNA-Lys". It matches the Rfam family "tRNA". From Rfam's summary of the family: Transfer RNA (tRNA) molecules are approximately 80 nucleotides in length. Their secondary structure includes four short double-helical elements and three loops (D, anti-codon, and T loops). Lineage: Bacteria; Pseudomonadati; Pseudomonadota; Alphaproteobacteria. The record is from RNAcentral.